Molecule: long non-coding RNA, 1578 nt
Organism: Mauremys reevesii (Reeves's turtle)
Lineage: Eukaryota; Metazoa; Chordata; Testudines; Geoemydidae
Exons: 3
Source: RefSeq, a predicted model, not a curated record
CUACCUUCCAUCGGAACAACAGAACUGUCGCCAAGGAGUCAGACCCAUGAGCAGACACAGGCCAUGAAUCUGGAACUCACUUUCUGAGGAGAUGAAGAUGGCCAUGAACCUCCGAGCGCAGCACAUGGUCUUAUCAGCCACUCAGAGAUCUGUCAGACCUGUACCAGCAUCAGACUGUUCAGGGCAUUGCUUUUAGCUGCCUCUGUUUGGUCACAGGCUCACAGCAAUGUUGCAAAAUAUGCCAUCUUGUCUGGCUAAGCCAGGAUCUCCUUAGACAGAAGGAAAAAGGGGAGAGAAAGAAGUAAGAGUGAAGAUAGAUGGCUGCUCUGUGUGUGUGGUGAAAAGCAAAAGUCAGCUUUCAAAUUUUGGGUCUAGAUCACAAUAUGAACUUCACCAGAGUCCAAAGGGCUUUUCCGGUGCAGGGAUCUGGUUCAGACCCACAUCCGGUACAAAUAAUCAUCUGAGUGGUAAACAAGUUGGUGUGUUUUGAAAGGUACCAAGGGGAAAAAAUCAAACUCCGUCUUUAAAACGACUGAUCCCAGACGCCUGAUCGACAAGAACACUGAUAUGCCCUGGGUCUGAACAAGGAAACUCCUACAAAGCAGCAGGCGAUGUGAAGAGACGGAUUGUCCGUGGGGGCUCCUGCAGAAAUAGGCAUGCAACCAGCACAGGCAUGAAGCUGAGCAUUCAUGUGCCUGUGCAAAGCUGGUAACCGCUAUGUAGGCUCACGCGUUGCAUUUGCACUUACAUUUUUCAUAGCCCUUUUGUAAAUGCCUUAGGAAGUCAGUUAUGGGACUGAAAUAACGAGGGAUCAGAUCUUUGUGAUUCAGCUCCUGUGGGGGGGAAAUACACGAGCGAGGCCAGAUCUUGCGGUGUUGUGAACUGAAGUCUCACUACCGGGGGAGGAAGCUGUAACAUUCGGAGAGGUUCAGCUCUAUUGCAGAGUUGAAGGCAGAGCCCUAGUAAGUACACAAUGCAGAUGGACACCUGUGUGCCUGCUUUUUGUGUUUGUGUGUGUUGCAGGAUGACCCAUUGCACCCUUCUUUGCAGUUAGCUCUCACAGGCUCAGUCCUGCCAGGAGCUAAGCUCUCUGGCCUGAUCCAGCGAAACACUUCAAUCCAUGCAGCACUGAGCCCUACAGGCAUAUCACAGUCACAUUAGAGCUUUCCCAUUGUUAUGAAUCUGAUCUGAGAACUGAAAUAUAUAGAGCAGAAAUAACCAUCUAAUCUAGGGCUACACACUAGCCAAGGGUCCUGGUGCCCAGAGCUUCACUUGCAAGGUCUUUUAAUGGCGCUAGAAGCUUUCCAUGGAACUAUGUAUUUUUGUGUCACCGAUUCCCAAGGUCUGUCUCUCUUCCUCCAUGCUGAUAAUAUCUUCAAGGCUCUCGCAAGAUCCCUUGCGGUGCUGGCUUUGUUUAACCACCACCUAUUCUGCCGCCAAGCAAUUUGAGGUGGCUUGAGCUCUGGCUUCAGUGUGGCACAUUAGCUUUUGCUAUGUAGAUUGAUAGAAGUUGGUUGGCUUCAACAAGCGGGCCCUCCCUGGCAAUCAAUACAUCCAUUUGCGAGCGGGAACCAGAAG